GUGCUCGCUUCGCAGCACAUAUGCUAAAAUGAUACAGAGGAGAUUAGCAUGGCCCCUGCGCAAAGAUGACACACAAAUUCGUGAAGCGUUCCAUAUUUUU
RNAcentral lists this small nuclear RNA (100 nucleotides) under Phascolarctos cinereus (koala). Lineage: Eukaryota; Metazoa; Chordata; Mammalia; Diprotodontia; Phascolarctidae. The record is from RNAcentral.